CCCAUUUACAGUGAGAGGUACCCCCACUCCUGUGACAUUUUCUGCAAAUUGGAAGAAAAUGAAGUGUUAAGUCUAGCUUUGCCGCAGGCAGCCCUCGGUUCCCGCUUUCAGAAUGGGAGCCCAGGAUGGAGAUACGCUGUCCCCGGCGAUGCUAAAUCCCCAGGGGACGCACUGCCCCCCUCCCAGGCAAGCGCCCGUGGACUGGCCGCCCCGCCCCGAAAGCUCGAAGAACUAGCGAGGCCUACGUCUAGCUCUGCGCUGGGCACGGGUGCGCUCGGAUUGCGGUGGGCCAUCCGCCCAAUCGCGGGUUCAAGUGCGUUCCCGCGCUUGACACCACCGUUCUGGGAGAGGGUCUCCUCCGAGCCCGUCGUGAAAAUCCUCCGGGAAAAGAAGUCGGGCUUCCUCUCCACGCAGCUCCAAGUGGACUCCGGAAUCGGCAGGAAGUGGCUCCUCGAAUUGCGCCUUUGCAGACCGCCUUUGCUUUGCUCAAGAAAAGCAGCUCCCACUCAAGUCUUGUCUCCCCCUUCCCUCGAAAGCCCCGCACAGGUUUGUAAAGAGGGGAGCGAGGUCUGAAAAAUAUUCGUCUUCCAGGGAGUGAAAUGUUGGUUACGGCGCGCAAAGAAAGAUGGGUGCUUUUUAGCUAGGAAAAAAUCAACAUGCCACGUCUUGUUUUGCAGUUCCAGAAUGGUGCCAACGCUACCCUCUGAAGAGUCCGUAUCGCUGGGUUAAUUGCAACUUAGUGAAAUGGGAAAUAAUUGGGCAGUGACGUGUUUCGUGGCAUCAUUUCUCCUUAGGAGUGUCUAAGAUUUUAAGUUUGUUUUAAGCAAGGUUUUAAGACUUGCCAUAAAGUAAACUUUGUAAGUCAAUCGGUUACUUAAAGCCUAGAAGAGGUAAGUUAAAGUUACCAUGUACUAUACAAUCCUCCAGUUUCUUUUAGAAGCUUGCAUAGGUGACUAAGGCGAGGGCAUCUUGCAUUUUUAAUUUUCCAAAUGGCAAGGGCGUUUUGGUUUUAAGGUAGCAAGGUUAAUGUUCAAGGGCAAAUGGAGCCUCGGAGGGUCUCUUGAUGAACAAUGUUUACUUAAUACUUGAGGCAUGAAAUAAAUAUGAUUUACAGUACAAAUUAUACCUCAUGUUUUCAACUUCUUUAGUUAUAAGUUAUAUGAGAAAGGCGAUUAACAAUUUUUAAAUGACAAUGUUUUAUUUGCAAAGUAUAUUGAAUUUGAAAUAGGCUGGAACAGCAGGGUUAAAAAAGCAAACAAGUCAACUUAAAAGUGGUUUGAUAUUUGCUAUCAAAGGCUUUGAGAGCUAAUAAAAACAGAAUUAAAAAGAAUGGAUAUAAAUAAUAAAACUCCAUUUUGACCCAAUGUGCCUGUCCCCAGGGACGGGACAGAUGACACUCAGGACUCCUCGAUUUUGAGCUAGUCCCUGCAGACAGCAAUUGUGAAUGUGGUAGGUCAGCAUUGCCUUUGAAAAUGCAGGGCAAGUAUGUUUAUGGUAGUACAGAAACAAAAAUUUUUACUACCUAGGAUUUCCUCAGUAGUUCAGCCUAAAAGUUUUGCAUUUAAAAAUUUAUGAUAAACAUUUCUUCAUUGAUUUAUGAAGUUCACAAGGAAACUUUGUACUUGUAUUAUUUUGUUCAAUGUUCACAUUUCAGAUUGAAGUUCAUUUGUCUUUCAAAAGAUUUUAUAAAAAAACAUUUUUAUAAAAAAGUUUCACAAAACAUAAUCAUUGUUUUUACCUCUUCAGCUACACAUAUGAUUGCUGACAUCUUUUUUUAAAUUUUAAAUAAGAUUAAUAUUACCCCAUUCUGGGAGUUUAAUGCAAAGAAGAGGAUUUCUAAGCCUGAAAAUGCAGUCUAUAUAAAAUUGUGAGGUCAAACAUUUUUGUAAAGCAACUUGGAAAUUUAUAUAUAUUAAAUGAAUAUGAGAACAUAUUGUAAAGUACUUUUCUCACAUCAUUCCUCCUCCUUCCAAAAAGUUAAAAAUUCAGACUGUUUUCCAUCCUAUCGUAAUGCAAUCAUCAGAUAUUUUAAAAAUCAUAAUAAACAGUUCUGUUAAGAUGGUGACUAGCCUUCAAAGUAUUAUUAAGAAAAUAUAAGAAUAUUCUCAACCCUUAAUAUGUUUGAGGGACUUGAAAAAGUGAGAAGUUUGUAGACACAUUAUGCUACUGAAAUCUGUGAACAUUAAAAUGUCUAAGUAAUUACAUAAUUAUAUUCUGUCUAAGUAGCAGAAGUAUUUUUUCCAACUACUUUUUAAACUUUGAAAUUUUUAUGUUUUAAUUAGUGGCUUUCUUUUAAAUGUUGCAAAUGUUUAGUUUAAUCAUCUGUAUGAUAAAAAAUUAUUGGAGUUUGUUCUGUUGACUUUCUGUAUUAAAAAGCUGAUAAAUAUUUUAUAUUGAUCGUCUUUUGAUAUACAUGGAAUAAAUUUGAACAUGUGCCUUGUUGGACUAAAACACAA
Ictidomys tridecemlineatus (thirteen-lined ground squirrel) is the source of this 2456-nucleotide non-coding RNA. NCBI's taxonomy places the organism in Eukaryota, Metazoa, Chordata, Mammalia, Rodentia, Sciuridae. The record is from RefSeq and is a predicted model, not a curated record.